This 525-nucleotide ribosomal RNA is filed under the name Triticum aestivum (bread wheat). Its description in RNAcentral is "partial small subunit ribosomal RNA". Lineage: Eukaryota; Viridiplantae; Streptophyta; Magnoliopsida; Poales; Poaceae. The record is from RNAcentral.
UUGUAGGGAAAUCCUGAGCAGCAGAAUAGCUGGUCUUGCCGGUGCGAGUGCCCUUAAAUGAUCAGACUUUUUAGAGCUGCUCACAAUGGAUGGUUGAUAGGUGAGCACCGGUCAAGCCACAACCAUUCAAUGUCCCUUACUUGCGGUGAAAAGGUUCAUUGGCCGUCCCACAAGCACAUAGAUAUGUACACAAAAGACUUGGUGAAGCAGCUUAGGGGGAACAAUGUGAACCUCAACAAGGUGUACACCAUAGUUGGCAGCUUCUCCUGUUCAUCUCAAAAUGUGCCUUUGACAAAGCAGUCUCUCCUGAAUCUGUGUGGCCGGAUAAGUCGAGACCAGGCUGCCGAUGAUGUGAACAAGACCCUUGCUGUGUUUAAAGAGAUACAAUGCAACGACCCAGAGUUCACCUACAGAAUCCAAGGGGAUGACGAAAGCAGAAUCAAGAUCAUGUGGACAAAUGAAAAUAGCAAGCUGCAGUACAAAUUCUUUGGUGAUGUCAUCGUUUGGCACAACGUAUCGGACUAA